AGUGAACGCUGGCGGCAUGCCUAACACAUGCAAGUCGAACGCUCUUUGGCAGUUUAUCGUCAGAGGGAGUGGCAAACGGGUGAGUAAUACGUGGACAAUCUUCCCUCGAGCGGGGGAUAACUCCGGGAAACCGGAGCUAAUACCGCGUGAGACCACGUCCUGGCAUCAGGAUGAGGUUAAAGCUCCGCAAGGGGCGCUUGAGGAGGGGUUCACGGCCUAUCAGCUAGUUGGCGGGGUUAAAGCCCACCAAGGCGACGACGGGUAACCGGUCUGAAAGGACGACCGGUCACAAUGGCACUGAGACACGGGCCAUACUCCUACGGGAGGCAGCAGUGGGGAAUUUUGCGCAAUGGGGGAAACCCUGACGCAGCGAUGCCGCGUGGAGGACGAAGGUCUUCGGAUUGUAAACUCCCUUUGUCGGUGAAAAAUAUUUGCGUGAAAAACGCAAACUGAUUGUAUCCGGCGAAUAAGCCACGGCUAACUUCGUGCCAGCAGCCGCGGUAAAGUAGUCGUG
This 514-nucleotide ribosomal RNA is filed under the name uncultured bacterium. RNAcentral's name for it is "bacterial SSU rRNA". It matches the Rfam family "Bacterial small subunit ribosomal RNA", at positions 29 to 533 of the family's 1533-position model. The record is from RNAcentral.